This is a small nuclear RNA of Octodon degus (degu), 107 nucleotides long. The record is from Ensembl. NCBI's taxonomy places the organism in Eukaryota, Metazoa, Chordata, Mammalia, Rodentia, Octodontidae.
GUGCUCAUUGCGGCAGUAAAUAUACUAAACUUGGAAUGAUACAGAGAAGAUUAGCAUGGUCCCUACAGAAGGAUGAUAUGCAAAUUCCUGGAGCUUUCCAUAUUUUU